This 717-nucleotide ribosomal RNA is filed under the name Bacillus altitudinis. Its description in RNAcentral is "bacterial SSU rRNA". It matches the Rfam family "Bacterial small subunit ribosomal RNA", at positions 95 to 798 of the family's 1533-position model. Lineage: Bacteria; Bacillati; Bacillota; Bacilli; Caryophanales; Bacillaceae. The record is from RNAcentral.
GCGGCGGACGGGAGAGUAACACGUGGGUAACCUGCCUGUAAGACUGGGAUAACUCCGGGAAACCGGAGCUAAUACCGGAUAGUUCCUUGAACCGCAUGGUUCAAGGAUGAAAGACGGUUUCGGCUGUCACUUACAGAUGGACCCGCGGCGCAUUAGCUAGUUGGUGAGGUAACGGCUCACCAAGGCGACGAUGCGUAGCCGACCUGAGAGGGUGAUCGGCCACACUGGGACUGAGACACGGCCCAGACUCCUACGGGAGGCAGCAGUAGGGAAUCUUCCGCAAUGGACGAAAGUCUGACGGAGCAACGCCGCGUGAGUGAUGAAGGUUUUCGGAUCGUAAAGCUCUGUUGUUAGGGAAGAACAAGUGCAAGAGUAACUGCUUGCACCUUGACGGUACCUAACCAGAAAGCCACGGCUAACUACGUGCCAGCAGCCGCGGUAAUACGUAGGUGGCAAGCGUUGUCCGGAAUUAUUGGGCGUAAAGGGCUCGCAGGCGGUUUCUUAAGUCUGAUGUGAAAGCCCCCGGCUCAACCGGGGAGGGUCAUUGGAAACUGGGAAACUUGAGUGCAGAAGAGGAGAGUGGAAUUCCACGUGUAGCGGUGAAAUGCGUAGAGAUGUGGAGGAACACCAGUGGCGAAGGCGACUCUCUGGUCUGUAACUGACGCUGAGGAGCGAAAGCGUGGGGAGCGAACAGGAUUAGAUACCCUGGUAGUCCAC